ACUACUAGUACUACUACCACCACUACUACUAGUACUGCUACUACUAUGACUUUGGACACUACUUCCCACAAAGUAAAUAAUACAGCCAGUAUUUGUCAAAUGAAUGAGCCUCAAUUUCUCCAUCAGCAAAGUGGAUAGAACAAGACUUUUGUGAGAAUCAAAUGGAAUAAUGUCCUUGAAACAUGUUGCACGCUAUGAAGCAAUGUAUAAAUGCCAGUCAUCACCACUAUACCUUUUGCAUCCGGGAAGUUUAGCCAUUUUUAAGAAAGCCUGCAGGUUAUUUCCAUAAGGUUCAACCCACUGAGUGGAUGGUGAGCUCCACAGAGCCUGAGCACCGCCAUUCCUUGAUUUUUUGCUGAAGACUUUAGAGAACCCAGGUGAAUGAGUAUCUGGAGAUGGAGUUGACCAGGUUACAACCGUAGAAGCUUCAAAAGGUCAUGAGAACUAUCAGGGGUCCUCUCAGCCGCCAGACUCAGUAGCAGAGAUCACUGGAGCCAGUAGUAGCUGAGUCUAAUAAAGAGUCUUCCCUGAAGAGCUAUCUACUUCACCCAGUCCAGCAGUAGAUUGACUUAGCUGCUAAAAAAAUGAGUCAUGCAAGGAGCCAAUCCAGUGGAUCAAAGGAUGAGUUUUCUUCCUUCCUUCCUUCCCUUUCUUCCUUCUUUUCAUCACUCCCUUCUUUCUUCUUUCCC
Long non-coding RNA from Phascolarctos cinereus (koala), 689 nucleotides. RefSeq lists it as uncharacterized. Lineage: Eukaryota; Metazoa; Chordata; Mammalia; Diprotodontia; Phascolarctidae. The record is from RefSeq and is a predicted model, not a curated record.